GACGAACGCUGGCGGCGUGCUUAACACAUGCAAGUCGAACGGGAUUUCGUAGACAGUAGCCUCGGCUCAAGAUUACUAAUGAGAGUGGCGAACGGGUGAGUAACGCGUGAGCAACCUGCCUAUGACAGUGGGAUAGCCUCGGGAAACCGGGAUUAAUACUGCAUAACAUCGUAGAAACACAUGUUUUAACGGUCAAAGAUUUAUCGGUCAUAGAUGGGCUCGCGUCUGAUUAGCUAGUUGGAGAGAUAACAGCCCACCAAGGCGACGAUCAGUAGCCGGUCUGAGAGGAUGAACGGCCAGAUUGGGACUGAGACAAGGUCCAAACUCCUACGGGAGGCAGCAGUGGGGAAUAAUGCACAAUGGGUGAGACCCUGAGGCAGCGACGCCGCGAGAACGAAGAAGGUAUUCGUAUCGUAAAGUUCUGUCCGAGGGGAAGAUAAUGACAGAACCAUAGAAGAAAGCUCCGGCUAAAUACGU
RNAcentral lists this ribosomal RNA (477 nucleotides) under uncultured bacterium. RNAcentral describes it as "partial 16S ribosomal RNA". It matches the Rfam family "Bacterial small subunit ribosomal RNA", at positions 28 to 506 of the family's 1533-position model. The record is from RNAcentral.